UACAGAGGGGGCUAGCGUUGUUCGGAAUUACUGGGCGUAAGGGCGCGUAGGCGGCCCGCUAAGUCGAACGUGAAAUCCCCGGGCUCAACCCGGGAACUGCGUCCGAUACUGGCAGGCUUGAAUCCGGGAGAGGGAUGUGGAAUUCCAGGUGUAGCGGUGAAAUGCGUAGAUAUCUGGAGGAACACCGGUGGCGAAGGCGGCAUCCUGGACCGGUAUUGACGCUGAGGCGCGAAAGCCAGGGGAGCAAACGGG
RNAcentral lists this ribosomal RNA (252 nucleotides) under uncultured bacterium. RNAcentral's name for it is "partial 16S ribosomal RNA". It matches the Rfam family "Bacterial small subunit ribosomal RNA", at positions 524 to 776 of the family's 1533-position model. The record is from RNAcentral.